Chelonia mydas (Green sea turtle) is the source of this 47-nucleotide non-coding RNA. NCBI's taxonomy places the organism in Eukaryota, Metazoa, Chordata, Testudines, Cheloniidae. The record is from Rfam.
CCAAAGGCUCUUUUAAGAGCCACCCACUAUUUCCAGGAGAGAGCUGU